GAUGAACGCUGGCGGCGUGCCUAAUACAUGCAAGUCGAGCGAACAGACGAGGAGCUUGCUCCUCUGACGUUAGCGGCGGACGGGUGAGUAACACGUGGAUAACCUACCUAUAAGACUGGGAUAACUUCGGGAAACCGGAGCUAAUACCGGAUAAUAUAUUGAACCGCAUGGUUCAAUAGUGAAAGACGGUUUUGCUGUCACUUAUAGAUUGAUCCGCGCCGCAUUAGCUAGUUGGUAAGGUAACGGCUUACCAAGGCAACGAUGCGUAGCCGACCUGAGAGGGUGAUUGGCCACACUGGAACUGAGAAACGGUCCAGACUCCUACGGGAGGCAGCAGUAGGGAAUCUUACGCAAUGGGCGAAAGCUUGACGGAGCAACGCCGCGUGAGUGAUGAAGGUCUUCGGAUCGUAAAACUCUGUUAUUAGGGAAGAACAAAUGUGUAAGUAACUAUGCACGUAUUGACGGUACCUAAUCAGAAAGCCACGGCUAACUACGUG
RNAcentral lists this ribosomal RNA (497 nucleotides) under uncultured bacterium. Its description in RNAcentral is "partial 16S ribosomal RNA". It matches the Rfam family "Bacterial small subunit ribosomal RNA", at positions 28 to 507 of the family's 1533-position model. The record is from RNAcentral.